UACAGAGGGGGCAAGCGUUGUUCGGAAUUACUGGGCGUAAAGGGCGCGUAGGCGGCCUGUUAAGUCGAACGUGAAAUCCCCGGGCUCAACCCGGGAACUGCGUCCGAUACUGGCAGGCUUGAAUCCGGGAGAGGGAUGCGGAAUUCCAGGUGUAGCGGUGAAAUGCGUAGAUAUCUGGAGGAACACCGGUGGCGAAGGCGCAUCCUGGACCGGCAUUGACGCUGAGGCGCGAAAGCCAGGGGAGCAAACGGGG
This 253-nucleotide ribosomal RNA is filed under the name uncultured bacterium. RNAcentral describes it as "partial 16S ribosomal RNA". It matches the Rfam family "Bacterial small subunit ribosomal RNA", at positions 524 to 777 of the family's 1533-position model. The record is from RNAcentral.